GAUGAACGCUAGCGAUAGGCUUAACACAUGCAAGUCGAGGGGCAGCAUGGAAUUAGUUUACUAAUUUUGAUGGCGACCGGCGGAUGGGUGAGUAACGCGUAUGCAAUCUACCUUUUACACAGGGAUAGCCCGGAGAAAUUCGGAUUAAUACUUGAUAAGAUAUUAGUUUCGCAUGAGACAGAUAUUAAAGAUUUAUUGGUAAAAGAUGAGCAUGCGUUCCAUUAGCUAGUUGGUAAGGUCACGGCUUACCAAGGCAACGAUGGAUAGGGGAACUGAGAGGUUUAUCCCCCACACUGGGACUGAGACACGGCCCAGACUCCUACGGGAGGCAGCAGUGAGGAAUAUUGGUCAAUGGGGCGAGAGCCUGAACCAGCCAAAAUCGCGUGAAGGAUGACUGCCCUACGGGUUGUAAACUUCUUUUAAUACAGGAAUAAAAAGUCAUACGUGUAUGACGUUGCAUGUACUGUAUGAAUAAGCAUCGGCUAACUCCGUGCC
This 495-nucleotide ribosomal RNA is filed under the name uncultured Bacteroidota bacterium. RNAcentral's name for it is "bacterial SSU rRNA". It matches the Rfam family "Bacterial small subunit ribosomal RNA", at positions 28 to 509 of the family's 1533-position model. Lineage: Bacteria; Pseudomonadati; Bacteroidota. The record is from RNAcentral.